Molecule: long non-coding RNA, 603 nt
Organism: Quercus robur (English oak)
Lineage: Eukaryota; Viridiplantae; Streptophyta; Magnoliopsida; Fagales; Fagaceae
Exons: 3
Source: RefSeq, a predicted model, not a curated record
AUUAUUGGACUUGACCCCCAGAUAGGAUGGUGACUGGGUCAGUUAAUAAUGAGAUCUGGUUUGUUUGUUGAGGUUCUUUCAUGUCCACCCUUUGUUGGGACUAUGAAAACCAAAGCCAAAUAGCAUCUCUCUAUGCCUCCAUGUCAUUCCUAUGGGGUUGGCCUUUAGCCUAAGAUUACUGGCUUCUUGUAGAGGUUCUUUCUUGUUCUAGUUCCUAUAGUAUCAUGGUUUAACUAUUUUAUGAUGUUCAGGUUUGCUCUGGCGCCCAGCCUGGUCAAAUGGUAGUUUUGAAGAAGAAAGGGAUCCAGACGAGGAACUCUUAUUCAUUUGGUGAUCAAUAUGUGCACUUCAAUGAAUUUGACCCCAAGGCAAAGUGAAUUGAUUGAAGAGUUUGCCAAAGAAGAGCAAAGGGAAUAUGAAAAGUGUGCUACUGCUGGAGCAUCUGCGUAAAAAUGUAAACCAAAAAAGGCUUCAUUUCUUUGCCAAUUCAUAGAAAGUCAAGCUUAGCAAAAAAGGAUAAAGGCAACCGAAGGAAAAGCAUCAAUUGUUGAAAGACCCACCCACUCUAUAAGUUUUGUAGGAGUGACUCUGGGUCGUUUUUGU